RNAcentral lists this ribosomal RNA (367 nucleotides) under uncultured archaeon. RNAcentral describes it as "bacterial SSU rRNA". It matches the Rfam family "Archaeal small subunit ribosomal RNA", at positions 510 to 877 of the family's 1478-position model. The record is from RNAcentral.
CUAAAACGUCCGUAGCCGGUCUGAUACAUUCGUGGGUAAAUCAACCAGCUCAACUGGUUGAAUUCUGCGAGGACGGUCAGACUUGGGACCGGGAGAGGUGUGGGGUACGCUCAGGGUAGGGGUAAAAUCCUGUCAUCCUGAGCGGACCACCUGUUGCGAAGGCGCCACACUAGAACGGAUCCGACGGUCAGGGACGAAGCCUAGGGGCACGAACCGGAUUAGAUACCCGGGUAGUCCUAGGUGUAAACGCUGUGGACUUGAUGUUGGGGGUGCUCCGAGCACUCUCAGUGUCGAAGCGAAGGUGAUAAGUCCACUGCCUGGGAAGUACGGUCGCAAGGCUGAAACUUAAAGGAAUUGGCGGGGGAGC